Molecule: long non-coding RNA, 421 nt
Organism: Trachemys scripta elegans
Lineage: Eukaryota; Metazoa; Chordata; Testudines; Emydidae
Exons: 3
Source: RefSeq, a predicted model, not a curated record
ACGCACAGAUGGUCAGCCAGAAGAAUGAGAGCUUUAUAAGACAGACAUCAUGCUGAUCCUUGGAAUCCCGUUCUCCCGGACCUCGUCAGGAGUUUUUCAUCACCAAAGUGGAUAAUAAGUCUGUCAGGCACCUCGUACAGAUCAAACAGGAGUUUGCCAAAAGGAAAUUGACACCUCAUUUGAAGAUAGCAGGGAAGAGUGGUACUACUUGAAUCCUGUUUAUCUUCAGAAGUGAUACUUUCCUCUUCCGCUGAUGGCAAAAGAUUUACGUAGAGAGAUAAAAUAAUUGGAAAAUGUAACUGAACAACCCAUACACAAUACAUCUUUAUUCACAGACCUUCCUACUUCACUGAAGAACACAGAAAGGGAUGAAAUGUUUGGUGCAGUACAGCACUUCUACUCUAAUGGAACCAAGAGCCAA